Molecule: ribosomal RNA, 253 nt
Filed under: uncultured bacterium
Lineage: Bacteria
Description: partial 16S ribosomal RNA
Rfam family: Bacterial small subunit ribosomal RNA
Source: RNAcentral
UACAGAGGGGGCAAGCGUUGUUCGGAAUUACUGGGCGUAAAGGGCGCGUAGGCGGCCUGCUAAGUCGAACGUGAAAUCCCCGGGCUCAACCCGGGAACUGCGUCCGAUACUGGUUGGCUUGAAUCCGGGAGAGGGAUGCGGAAUUCCAGGUGUAGCGGUGAAAUGCGUAGAUAUCUGGAGGAACACCAGAGGCGAAGGCGGCGACCUGGACAAGUACUGACACUCAACUGCGAAAGCGUGGGGAGCAAACAGG